This 586-nucleotide ribosomal RNA is filed under the name Macrophthalmus convexus. RNAcentral's name for it is "partial 16S ribosomal RNA". The record is from RNAcentral. Lineage: Eukaryota; Metazoa; Arthropoda; Malacostraca; Decapoda; Macrophthalmidae.
UAUAAAUAACUUGUUAAUUUAAAUGAUGAAUAAAGAAGUAUGAAAAAUAUUUUUUAUUACAAUUUGUUAGUAAUUUUAAUUGAAAAAUAAUUAUAAACUAGAGUAUAAAGUACUGUGGGGGAAAGUUAAUAAAAUUUUUUAUAGUAAAAGUGAAAUUUUGUGCCUUGUGUAUCAGAAAAAAUUUAUAUAAUUCAAUUAUUUUGAAUAUCUCGAAAUAAAAUAUAGUGAUUUUUAUAAAAUUUUUUUUUUCGAAAAAAAAAAUUUAAUGUAAAAUUAAAAGUGAAAUGCUAGUUGAGUUUUAUUAUAUCUAGUUUUUUUAAAAUAAAUUAAAUUUGAUUUUUGCAUUCAAUUAUUGUAAAAUUUAAUGGUAGGAGGGAUUAGCUUCUUAUGAGAUGAAAAUAAAAUAGCGAAGUAAAAUAAAAUAAUAUAAAUUAGGCUUAGAAGUAGUCAUAUUAGAAAAGUGUUUUAACUAAAUUAUAAUUAUUAAAAUAUUUUUAGUAGCUUUUUUAUAAUAUGAAAAAAUUUAUUAAAAUUGUUAAGUUUAGAUAAAAUGAUUUUAUUAGUAAAAUUUAUUGAGAAUAAUAAU